Molecule: long non-coding RNA, 1020 nt
Organism: Eupeodes corollae
Lineage: Eukaryota; Metazoa; Arthropoda; Insecta; Diptera; Syrphidae
Exons: 4
Source: RefSeq, a predicted model, not a curated record
AUAUUAUCUAGAGUCCCGACCGGUACCCGUCCUACCUGAAACACCCUCAAAUUUUAUUCGAGGUGAACUCUCCCAAAUUCGAGGUGAACUCUCACAAAUUCUCUAUCUGUGAAUACAUGUGAGUGGAGAAAAAAAAGCAAAAUGGGGGAUUGGGCUAAAAAGAAACUUAUGGAAUUUUUGUGACCUGUCAAAAAUGACAAUCAAUUUUGCAAAACAAAACAAUGGGUUUCGGAUUUUUAGAACCAAAAUUCUUUAUAAUGAAGAGGGUAUAUACAAGUUCACUUCAUUGAAUAAAAAUUAAGUCAAAUUGCAGUGAAGGAGGUGCAACAAUAAUGGAUUUAUUUUAUAUUCUUUCUUUUCAUUUUAGAUAGUGCCAAAAUGCAGGAAACAAUUUCAUUUAAGUAAUUUGGAAAGCAAACCAAACAAGGCGCUGAUUUGCAGGUAAGUUUUUUGUAUAUUAUAUUUCUCUUAACAAAAUAAUAUCAAUGUUUUUAACUACAGAUACUGCCCAUUGUUUUUGUAUGUACUUCUCAACUGCAAUAGCUGCCGCAGGUGUUGACGGCGGAGGUGUCACCAUCAAAACCAUUAGAAACAACACGACCAAGUCAAUGAUGCAAGUGGAAGUUUUGCCAUGUAAUAGUCGACCGCUGACGCCCUUCUCCAUCAAUUGUGUGUAAAGAGUACUACCAGUCUGCAGUUCUGCAAGAGACGCAAACAAAACAAGAAUACAAUCGCAGGAAGACUCCAAAAAAUGUCUAACCCUGACUGUAAGUGAGUUCAAAUUUUAAAUCUACAGUGAAUCCAUUCAUUUUGCUCCUAAGGAUCGCACUGGCUUAACGGUGUCAAUCAUUCGGAGGCAAAUGAGCUGGCCCGACAAGAAUCCCCCAAGAAGCCAAACAGAUUCAGAUCAGUCUCUCGGCAGCUACUGACAAUGUCGGCGAAUUAAAUCCAUCGAUUUUCACACAGAAAAUCAACAUCAAAAAAAUCACGACAAUUCAGCAGCGUCAUGGUCAACCUGCC